UUUCCGUAGGUGAACCUGCGGAAGGAUCAUUACUGAAGUGAGUCUUCAUCAUUGAAGCUUCUUCCCAUUGUGCUGGCUUUGACCGUAUGUAAUGUUGGGGAUUAAACAUGGUUGAAUUUAUUUUAGCCGUCCCCAACAAUUUAUCUUAUCCUUUAUUAAAUUGAACUGAACUCAUUUUGAGAUUACAUAAAAAAUAAUCUUUUAAUACAACUUUCAACAACGGAUCUCUUGGUUCUC
Molecule: unclassified non-coding RNA, 237 nt
Filed under: plant metagenome
Description: partial contains small subunit ribosomal RNA, internal transcribed spacer 1, and 5.8S ribosomal RNA
Source: RNAcentral